This is a long non-coding RNA of Cynoglossus semilaevis (tongue sole), 2910 nucleotides long. RefSeq lists it as uncharacterized. Lineage: Eukaryota; Metazoa; Chordata; Actinopteri; Pleuronectiformes; Cynoglossidae. The record is from RefSeq and is a predicted model, not a curated record. The transcript has 4 exons.
ACGCUGACCUAACAACGCACACACAGUCGGCCGGCCAAACACACACAAACACACAUGUGAGCAGGAGGUGUUGUUGUCUGGGCGUCUCUACGCUCCAUCUGUUGUCCAGUCAGGAGGUGAACUUGAGGAAGGGGCGAGGGGUUGAGGCCCCCACCUCAACUUCCAAUGACGUUCAGUUCCAAAAAGAGGAGAUGUAGAGUGUGAAUGUGCGUGUGUGUGUGUGUGUGUGUGUGUGUGUGCGAUGGCUAAGAUGAAAACACUCAGAACUGGUUUCUAACCCAAGGCCAGUUGUGACUUUGUCAGAGCUUUGACCUACUUCCUACUUUCCUGAACAGGUGGCGUGGAGCUCUGUUUCUCAUAUGCUGUACAUCUCAUCCCACCUUGUUGUCAUUUAAAAUAUUUAUAGAACAACAUUUAUAGAAAAAUGAGAAUCAAGUACACGUGGACUCCAAGAAGACAAACUUACCCUGAGGCUUCAUUAGAGGCUAAGACUCUCCUCCAACCGCCGCCGUUUUCCUCCAACCAGCCAGAUCUCCACCCUCUCAGAGUCUCCUCUCUCUGCAGCCUCCCUCGCCCAUGUCGUCACAUCUCACCUCCCCACCUUGUCUCCUUCCCAUUAACUUUGGAGCAGAUGGCAGGGCCCUGCUCUCUCUGUUGACAGCUGUGGUGAGCAGGAGGGAGUCUUCAGCUGCUGAUGACAGGCCAAAACCUUCACAUCACCAUGAAAGUGUUUCGGCUCAAUGUCACAUCUUCAGCGUUGGGACAAAGUCCUCGCUGCCAUUAUCACUGGACAUCUGAAUUAUCACUGGACAUCUGAGAAACACCACUCCGUUUUGGUGCAAGGCCUUCAAGAACAGAUGCAGACGACACUGAGACGUAGGUCUCUGUCCUACUGCAGACGGUAAAGUGGUGGUGUAAAUAGAGCGUCAGGAUGGAGAGGAAAUGAACGAAGAUCCAUCUUCAACGCACUGCAGAGAAACAGCUGUUUCAGGUCACAGCCAAAGAUAAGCCACUUUAUUUCCACUCUCCCUCUCUCUCUGUCCCUUUCUCUUUCAGUAUCUCUCUCACACACAUUUGACCGUCUGACUUUAAUCAAUCUUGCGCUGCAUCUGUUCCUCUCUUCUCUCUCUAUCUCCCUCUCUGAUCUGUGGCUCUGAUGCUAAAGUGCUUAUUGCGCUCAUGCAUGCUCUCUUAACCUUCACAGUCCUACAAUGCUGGGGAACAGAUGAGACACGAUGACGAAGCUUAAAAUUUCUUACUUCCAUAAAAGAUGUUCCUAACAUCUGGGCACUGAUCCAGAACUAUUAAUUAAAAUGACCUCAGAAUUAUGUGUUUGUCUGGAAACCCUGGAGGGUAUUUGGUAAAAGGCAGAAAAGUGGGGUGGAUGCAGUAGCUGUAAAUAGAAGUAGGCAAGCUCAGGCGCUGAGGUGAUACCUCGAGUUUUAGUCAUAGGAGUGAGGUCAAAUCUCCCACAUCUGACUUUAAUGCUGAACUGAUUAUUAAAUAAACAGAAUGACUACAUAAAUGGAGGCAGUCAAUCUUCAUCAUUAUUGAAGAAAACAGUACACAUUUACAAUAACGUUAUAUUAGUCCACACUUCUGCGGUCUCAUCACAAAGUCAUUGUACAUGUAGUUAAAAUACACAUAAAAAUUAACUUACCUUUCUGUGGCACCACCUGGCACCACUGUCAUCUACUUUUCUGCCUCUCCAGACUUUUAUAUACAAUGAAGUUGUCUCUAGACUACAUUUAAAAAAAACCCAAAAUACCAACACAAAUGAAAGAAAGUAAAUGUAGCACAAUCCGAUGUAUGGUACACAACCAGCCAACGUAAACAAAGGCGCCUUCUGUGUAUAGUGCUGCGUGACCACAUAUUUGUCGCUUUUACUUCACUACUACUAGUUCCCGUGUGAACACUACGUCGGAAUGAUGGAACAGGAUUUGCCUAAUACAUUUAUGGGAGAUAAAGCGACAUAACCACAACAUGCUACAGGUCGAGGAAUCCAUAGGCAGAAGAUCCCGUACUCAAUUGUUUUCAACUGCUACAGUAAAGUGUUAAAACAGACCUAGUGCAGCCUGAACUGAUUUAAAACUUAAACUCACACAUUUCCUGUUGUACCUGAGGGUAACUUCAUCUUUUCCAAAGUUAAUUAUUGGAGGGACAUUAUGUCGUAGCUGAGAUACACUUGAUGCAGUAAUAUCUGUCUUGCUGCAGUGAAUCCCUCCUGUCUCACUGAUAAGGCCUUGAGUCUGUACAAGUGCUGGAUUACACUAUGGAGACUCAGGGCAACACAGACUCUGUGUUAGUGUGUGUGCAUUGACUGUGGAGACCUCUGGACAGCUUAUUCGCCGCAGACAGAUAGCAGCAGAAUUCUUAUCUUGCACACUUCCUCUGAUAGUGUAUUGAUGGGACAAUCUGCCUCAGACUGCUGAAUUCAGGAACAAAGGCUGUGAUAAGUGCAGUAGAAGAGGAGAGUCCUGAAGACUGAAGGGGAUUAAAGUCAUUAACUUGAACACAAAAUGAAACACUCACUGUCUUUGUUUUUUAAAUGGUAAUAUUAAAGUUGGAAUUAAAAAGACACAAGGCUGCAGCUGAGGGGUUACAGUUUAAGAGAUGGUCAGUUUGUUUGGUCUGUUCAGUGGUGUCUUCAAAUGGAACAGAUGUUAGAAGUGCCCGGAACAGUGGAGAGCAGUGAUGAAUCUGGGAAUGUUUGGAAAAGAGGAAAAUGGGACAACAAAACAAACUAGAUUAUGUUGUUACAUUUUGACUAAAAUCAGUUUAACAAACAGUAUAAACAUUAGACUUGGCCUUUGGAUGUUGGUCCCAAGGACCAAACUGGUCCCUCUCUCUCUCUCUUUUUUUUUUUUUUGAGACAUUUUAUUUUGAAAAUCAUGCAUGCUGAGAUUUUGG